RNAcentral lists this ribosomal RNA (253 nucleotides) under uncultured bacterium. Its description in RNAcentral is "partial 16S ribosomal RNA". It matches the Rfam family "Bacterial small subunit ribosomal RNA", at positions 524 to 776 of the family's 1533-position model. The record is from RNAcentral.
UACGAAGGGCGCUAGCGUUGUUCGGAAUCAUUGGGCGUAAAGCGUACGUAGGCGGCAUGAUAAGUCAGCUGUGAAAGCCCAGGGCUCAACCUUGGAAUUGCAGUUGAAACUAUCAAGCUAGAGUAUGGCGGGGGAUAGUGGAAUUCUUAGUGUAGGGGUGAAAUCCGUAGAUAUUAAGAGGAACACCAGUGGCGAAAGCGACUAUCUACACCAUUACUGACGCUCAGGUACGAAAGCGUGGGGAGCAAACAGG